This is a non-coding RNA of Amborella trichopoda, 154 nucleotides long. The record is from Rfam. NCBI's taxonomy places the organism in Eukaryota, Viridiplantae, Streptophyta, Magnoliopsida, Amborellales, Amborellaceae.
CUCACACCCAUGUGUGUAGAACCCCAAAUGAUCACUAUUAAAUUUGAUACAGAUCUCUAUAAAGGUUAUCACAUGGUUGUGGGACUUGACUUCUUUAGAGAUCUGUACCAAAUUUAAUGGUGAUUAUUUGGGGUCCUACACACAUGGGUGUGGG